GUUAUCAACGCCUGAGACGGAAAGAGGACACAGAGAGAACGAGUGAGACUGAGAGGUCAACAAGCUGCUCAAUGAAUUCAAGAACAAUCUUCAGACCCUCAGCGGUGGUCUGCUCCAUCCUGCCCGGCCUGCAGCCAAUCAGAGAACAGGACUGAUGUCAUCAGCUUGGUGAAGGCGACCACGGCUCUGUUGGAUUCCCAGAUGAUCUCCAGACUGAAGCCGCUCUCGUCCGACCCUGAGACGUUCUCCACCAGCAUCAUCAGCAGAUCCCUGCACAUGUUGUCC
Molecule: long non-coding RNA, 285 nt
Organism: Seriola aureovittata
Lineage: Eukaryota; Metazoa; Chordata; Actinopteri; Carangiformes; Carangidae
Exons: 3
Source: RefSeq, a predicted model, not a curated record